This 135-nucleotide ribosomal RNA is filed under the name Neogale vison (American mink). The record is from RNAcentral. Lineage: Eukaryota; Metazoa; Chordata; Mammalia; Carnivora; Mustelidae.
GUCUAUGACCAUACCACCCUGAACGUGCCCGAUCUCAUCUGAUCUCGGAAGCUAAGCAGGGUCGGGCCUGGUUAGUACUUGGAUGGGAGAAAAUUUACUGUUCAAAAGAACAAGGAGAAUUUGUGAUCAAAUGCA